RNAcentral lists this long non-coding RNA (183 nucleotides) under Oryctolagus cuniculus (rabbit). RNAcentral's name for it is "lncRNA (ENSOCUG00000034786.1)". The record is from RNAcentral. Lineage: Eukaryota; Metazoa; Chordata; Mammalia; Lagomorpha; Leporidae.
AUUUGAUGUGAACUUUCUGCAAAAAGGUGAAGAGACUCAAAUCCCUAAUUCUUUCCCUUUAGAAAGAGGUUGCAGCAAUACUCAUUCAAGUUGGAAAAGAGAAGGCUAUGAACAGAUGGCUAUGGCAAACAGCACAUUGCAAUUGGGGAGCAGUGCACAGGCAUAUCAUCAACAUUAAUGAUA